RNAcentral lists this unclassified non-coding RNA (211 nucleotides) under fungal sp. Its description in RNAcentral is "partial internal transcribed spacer region". The stretch from base 1 to 46 matches the Rfam family "Eukaryotic small subunit ribosomal RNA", at positions 1786 to 1831 of the family's 1831-position model. Lineage: Eukaryota; Fungi. The record is from RNAcentral.
AAGUCGUAACAAGGUUUCCGUAGGUGAACCUGCGGAAGGAUCAUUAUCAAUUGAAUCCUCGGAUCUCUUUAUUGGGGUCUGUUGGUUUACUGUGAACUGGCAUGCUUCAAUUUAUUGGAGUGUGUGUCUAUUUUUUUAUCGUUUUUUAUUAUAAAAUGUUUGGAAUAUGGCUUUGAAAAGACAACUUUCAGCAAUGGAUCUCUUGGCUCUU